UACGUAGGGGGCUAGCGUUGUCCGGAAUCAUUGGGCGUAAAGAGCGUGUAGGCGGCCCGGUAAGUCCGCUGUGAAAGUCGGGGGCUCAACCCUCGGAUGCCGGUGGAUACUGUCGGGCUCGAGUACGGAAGAGGCGAGUGGAAUUCCUGGUGUAGCGGUGAAAUGCGCAGAUAUCAGGAGGAACACCUAUUGCGAAGGCAGCUCGCUGGGACGUUACUGACGCUGAGACGCGAAAGCGUGGGGAGCUAACAGG
This 253-nucleotide ribosomal RNA is filed under the name uncultured bacterium. Its description in RNAcentral is "partial 16S ribosomal RNA". It matches the Rfam family "Bacterial small subunit ribosomal RNA", at positions 524 to 776 of the family's 1533-position model. The record is from RNAcentral.